CAGCAGCAGCCGCGGUAAUACGUAGGUGGCAAGCGUUGUCCGGAACUAUUGGGCGUAAAGGGCUCGCAGGCGGUUUCUUAAGUCUGAUGUGAAAGCCCCCGGCUCAACCGGGGAGGGUCGUUGGAAACUGGGAAACUUGAGUGCAGAAGAGGAGAGUGGAAUUCCACGUGUAGCGGUGAAAUGCGUAGAGAUGUGGAGGAACACCAGUGGCGAAGGCGACUCUCUGGUCUGUAACUGACGCUGAGGAGCGAAAGCGUGGGGAGCGAACAGGAUUAGAUACCCGUGUAGUCCCUGUCUCUUAUAA
This 304-nucleotide ribosomal RNA is filed under the name uncultured bacterium. Its description in RNAcentral is "partial 16S ribosomal RNA". It matches the Rfam family "Bacterial small subunit ribosomal RNA", at positions 506 to 809 of the family's 1533-position model. The record is from RNAcentral.